GCAAAACCUUAGCGAGUUUAAGGAACUGAAAGAAAGUUUAUGAGGUCCAGCCCCACUGGAGCUGCGGACCAGAUGGCAAGGGCAAGUCAUGGAACUUGUCUGGAUGCUGGCAAUGGUGAUGGGAGCCAGGGAGGGUGCUCAGCAGGAGAGUGGCAGGACCUGGUUUGUGAGAGGAUGGUUCUGCCGCGGGAUGGAGCGGGCAUGGAGGGAGCCCAGAAAGCUCAUUGUAGGGAGAUGGUGCAGUGAGAAGGAGCUAGUGGGAGGUUCUGAAGUGAACUGACUAGGGGUGAAUUGGGCAUGGUUAUGUUGUAUAUUACUCCAUUCUCAUACUUACA
Molecule: long non-coding RNA, 335 nt
Filed under: Homo sapiens (human)
Lineage: Eukaryota; Metazoa; Chordata; Mammalia; Primates; Hominidae
Description: non-protein coding lnc-SLC45A1-4:2
Source: RNAcentral